RNAcentral lists this ribosomal RNA (645 nucleotides) under uncultured archaeon. RNAcentral describes it as "bacterial SSU rRNA". It matches the Rfam family "Archaeal small subunit ribosomal RNA", at positions 172 to 815 of the family's 1478-position model. The record is from RNAcentral.
GGAAGGUCCUCAGGCCGAAAGGGGCUCUGCCCGCCCGAGGAUGGGCCGGCGGCCGAUUAGGUAGUUGGUGGGGUAACGGCCCACCAAGCCGAAGAUCGGUACGGGCCAUGAGAGUGGGAGCCCGGAGAUGGACACUGAGACACGGGUCCAGGCCCUACGGGGCGCAGCAGGCGCGAAACCUCCGCAAUGCGGGCAACCGCGACGGGGGGACCCCCAGUGCCGUGGCAACGCCACGGCUUUUCCGGAGUGUAAAAAGCUCCGGGAAUAAGGGCUGGGCAAGGCCGGUGGCAGCCGCCGCGGUAAUACCGGCGGCCCGAGUGGUGGCCGCUAUUAUUGGGCCUAAAGCGUCCGUAGCCGGGCCCGUAAGUCCCUGGCGAAAUCCCACGGCUCAACCGUGGGGCUUGCUGGGGAUACUGCGGGCCUUGGGACCGGGAGAGGCCGGGGGUACCCCUGGGGUAGGGGUGAAAUCCUAUAAUCCCAGGGGGACCGCCAGUGGCGAAGGCGCCCGGCUGGAACGGGUCCGACGGUGAGGGACGAAGGCCAGGGGAGCGAACCGGAUUAGAUACCCGGGUAGUCCUGGCUGUAAAGGAUGCGGGCUAGGUGUCGGGCGAGCUUCGAGCUCGCCCGGUGCCGAAGGGAAGCCGU